GCUUGGGGAACAUACUUCUUUAUAUGCCCAUAUGGACGUGCGGAGCUAUGGAAUGUAAAGAAGUAUGUAUUUCAGGU
This is a non-coding RNA of Ailuropoda melanoleuca (giant panda), 77 nucleotides long. The record is from Rfam. NCBI's taxonomy places the organism in Eukaryota, Metazoa, Chordata, Mammalia, Carnivora, Ursidae.